Molecule: ribosomal RNA, 253 nt
Filed under: uncultured bacterium
Lineage: Bacteria
Description: partial 16S ribosomal RNA
Rfam family: Bacterial small subunit ribosomal RNA
Source: RNAcentral
UACGAAGGGGGCUAGCGUUGCUCGGAAUCACUGGGCGUAAAGCGCACGUAGGCGGCUUUCUAAGUCAGGGGUGAAAUCCUGGAGCUCAACUCCAGAACUGCCUUUGAUACUGGAGAGCUUGAGUCCGGGAGAGGUGAGUGGAACUCCGAGUGUAGAGGUGAAAUUCGUAGAUAUUCGGAAGAACACCAGUGGCGAAGGCGGCUCACUGGCCCGGAACUGACGCUGAGGUGCGAAAGCGUGGGGAGCAAACAGG